AGCAGUUCUGUGGAGCAGCGGUGGCCGGCUAGGAUGGGCUGUCUCUGGGGUCUGGCUCUGCCCCUUUUCUUCUUCUGCUGGGAGGUUGGGGUCUCUGGGAGCUCUGCAGCUUGUGUGAAGUCCACUGGAACCCAGGCUCACCAAGUCAGUCUUAACCAACACAGGCCCCAGCACCCGCAGAGCAGACACUGCGAUGACAACGGACGACACAGAAGUGCCCGCUAUGACUCUAGCACCGGGCCACGCCGCUCUGGAAACUCAAACACUGAGCGCUGAGACCUCUUCUAGGGCCUCAACCCCAGCCGGCCCCGUUCCAGAAGCAGAGACCAGGGGAUCCAAGAGAAUUUCCCCUGCAAGAGAGACCAGGAGUUUCACAAAAACAUCUCCCAACUUCAUGGUGCUGAUCGCCACCUCCGUGGAGACAUCAGCCGCCAGUGGCAGCCCCGAGGGAGCUGGAAUGACCACAGUUCAGACCAUCACAGGCAGUGAUCCCGAGGAAGCCAUCUUUGACACCCUUUGCACCGAUGACAGCUCUGAAGAGGCAAAGACACUCACAAUGGACAUAUUGACAUUGGCUCA
This 579-nucleotide unclassified non-coding RNA is filed under the name Homo sapiens (human). RNAcentral describes it as "mucin 20, cell surface associated (ENSG00000275430.3)". Lineage: Eukaryota; Metazoa; Chordata; Mammalia; Primates; Hominidae. The record is from RNAcentral.